AAGCAUGAUCGCAAGGACAUGUGGAGCGCUUAGAAGUGAGAAUGCCGGUGUGAGUAGCGAAAGACGGGUGAGAAUCCCGUCCACCGAUUGACUAAGGUUUCCAGAGGAAGGCUCGUCCGCUCUGGGUUAGUCGGGUCCUAAGCUGAGGCCGACAGGCGUAGGCGAUGGAUAACAGGUUGAUAUUCCUGUACCACCUAGUAUCGUUUUAAUCGAUGGGGGGACGCAGUAGGAUAGGCGAAGCGUGCUAUUGGAUUGCACGUCCAAGCAGUAAGACUGAGUGUUAGGCAAAUCCGGCACUCAUAAGGUCAAGCUGUGAUGGGGAGAGGAAAUUAUUUCCUCGAGUCGUUGAUUUCACACUGCCAAGAAAAGCCUCUAGAUAGAUAACAGGUGCCCGUACCGCAAACCGACACAGGUAGUCAAGAUGAGAAUUCUAAGGUGAGCGAGCGAACUCUCGUUAAGGAACUCGGCAAAAUGACCCCGUAACUUCGGGAGAAGGGGUGCUCUUUAGGGUUAACGCCCAGAAGAGCCGCAGUGAAUAGGCCCAAGCGACUGUUUAUCAAAAACACAGGUCUCUGCUAAACCGUAAGGUGAUGUAUAGGGGCUGACGCCUGCCCGGUGCUGGAAGGUUAAGAGGAGUAGUUAGCUUCUGCGAAGCUACGAAUCGAAGCCCCAGUAAACGGCGGCCGUAACUAUAACGGUCCUAAGGUAGCGAAAUUCCUUGUCGGGUAAGUUCCGACCCGCACGAAAGGCGUAACGAUUUGGGCACUGUCUCAACGAGAGACUCGGUGAAAUCAUAGUACCUGUGAAGAUGCAGGUUACCCGCGACAGGACGGAAAGACCCCGUGGAGCUUUACUGUAGCCUGAUAUUGAAAUUCGGCACAGCUUGUACAGGAUAGGUAGGAGCCUUUGAAACGUGAGCGCUAGCUUACGUGGAGGCAUUGGUGGGAUACUACCCUAGCUGUGUUGGCUUUCUAACCCGCACCACUUAUCGUGGUGGGAGACAGUGUCAGGUGGGCAGUUUGACUGGGGCGGUCGCCUCCUAAAAGGUAACGGAGGCGCUCAAAGGUUCCCUCAGAAUGGUUGGAAAUCAUUCAUAGAGUGUAAAGGCAUAAGGGAGCUUGACUGCGAGACUUACAAGUCGAGCAGGGUCGAAAGACGGACUUAGUGAUCCGGUGGUUCCGCAUGGAAGGGCCAUCGCUCAACGGAUAAAAGCUACCCCGGGGAUAACAGGCUUAUCUCCCCCAAGAGUUCACAUCGACGGGGAGGUUUGGCACCUCGAUGUCGGCUCAUCGCAUCCUGGGGCUGUAGUCGGUCCCAAGGGUUGGGCUGUUCGCCCAUUAAAGCGGUACGCGAGCUGGGUUCAGAACGUCGUGAGACAGUUCGGUCCCUAUCCGUCGUGGGCGUAGGAAAUUUGAGAGGAGCUGUCCUUAGUACGAGAGGACCGGGAUGGACAUACCUCUGGUGUACCAGUUGUCGUGCCAACGGCAUAGCUGGGUAGCUAUGUAUGGACGGGAUAAGUGCUGAAAGCAUCUAAGCAUGAAGCCCCCCUCAAGAUGAGAUUUCCCAACUUCGGUUAUAAGAUCCCUCAAAGAUGAUGAGGUUAAUAGGUUCGAGGUGGAAGCGUGGUGACACGUGGAGCUGACGAAUACUAAUCGAUCGAAGACUUAAUCAAAA
This 1674-nucleotide ribosomal RNA is filed under the name Staphylococcus warneri. Its description in RNAcentral is "partial 23S ribosomal RNA". It matches the Rfam family "Bacterial large subunit ribosomal RNA", at positions 1253 to 2925 of the family's 2925-position model. The record is from RNAcentral. Lineage: Bacteria; Bacillati; Bacillota; Bacilli; Caryophanales; Staphylococcaceae.